Molecule: ribosomal RNA, 406 nt
Filed under: uncultured bacterium
Lineage: Bacteria
Description: partial 16S ribosomal RNA
Rfam family: Bacterial small subunit ribosomal RNA
Source: RNAcentral
AUUGAACGCUGGCGGCAGGCCUAACACAUGCAAGUCGAACGAGUGGCGGACGGGUGAGUAAUGUCUGGGAAACUGCAUGAUGGAGAGGGAUAACUACUGGAAACGGUAGCUAAUACCGCAUACCAUCGGAUGUGCCCAGAUGGGAUUAGCUAGUAGGUGGGGUAAUGGCUCACCUAGGCCACGAUCCCUAGCUGGUCUGAGAGGAUGACCAGCCACACUGGAACUGAGACACGGUCCAGACUCCUACGGGGGGCAGCAGUGGGGAAUAUUGCACAAUGGGCGAAAGCCUGAUGCAGCCAUGCCGCGUGUGUGAAGAAGGCCUUCGGGUUGUAAAGUACUUUCAGCGAGGAGGCGUUACCCGCAGAAGAAGCACCGGCUAACUCCGUGCCAGCAGCCGCGGUAAUAC